UAACACAGUGAGCUGCCUAACUUGGCAACAGUUUAGGAAAUCAUAUUUGUGUUCCCAGAUUGCAGGCUGUUCUAAAUAGUAAGCAAUAAAAUAAAUCGGCCUUAUAAGAUGCCUUAUUAGUUCACAUCCUGCCCCCCUUUCAUAUUUGUUUGUUAAAUAUUUUAUCUAAUUUAAUAAUUCGAUUAUGCUUUCAGCCAUCAAUAAGACUGCAGUACCGUCAACUCCAUUUAACACAUUUUAUCUCCAAAAAGCACCAAAAAUACAAAAAAAGUCUGCAGAUUCCAUCUGGGGCUGCUAUGAUCCAAUUCAGUCAGGAUGCUGCCUUAGAAGGAAGCUGCCUGUGUUGACUAUAGUCAGCGAGAACAGACCAAGCUUUGGAACAGACGUACAUUUCCGAGUGUAUUCCUCAGAGUGUUGUAUUCUUAGUGAUGUUCUCGUAAACCGAAUAGAGCUCACAUUGUGUUCUCAGUUUCUUAAAGACUGCUAUAACUCACUCUCACACACACACACUUACAGUAAGAAGGUCUAAAGGUAUAUAAAUCCACAGAGAUGACAAAGAGAGAGACAGAUUAACCGAUUUUACGAUACUGAAGUUGUUCUCUAUCUGAUUGCAUGGGAUGCGGAUGGCACUAGGUAAAGUUCCAGUUUAACGGUGAUGUAAUGUCCCAGUUGGUUGGUUUAACAGGCUGCUAUAUGGACGCUGUGACAGGGAUCUAGCUCCAUGCUGAUUGUUGUCGCAGCGACGGGAUUCCAACGUGGAUAAUUGCUCUAGGAGCUUAGUGAUGUGGGCCACCUGCCGGAACAGUUGGCCGUGUAUGUGUGUGUGUUUAUAUGGGGCAGGAGGAUGGGAUUGUCGGGAAAGCAUAGACAUACUAGUUUUGCAUCUUUGCCACAUGCAUUAUUGGGCCAAGGUCAUGGAAAAGACACACAUUGUCAAAUAAUUGAAAAAUUCAUUGAUGAGAAAAGCUGAUCCUGUGUUGUAAUAUUAAAACUGUCUCUUGAAAGUGUCUAGAAACACACAUGCAUGCAUGCACAGAUACACGUGUACACAUGCAAGCACACUUCCAUGCAUGCAAUCACACGUAUGCAAAUACAUGCACACAAGCACACAAGUACACACACACAUACACAGAUGCAAAUAUACACACGCAUACAUACUGUACAUGCAAGUUCAUGUAUUCAAAAACAAUACAGGCAUGAAAAUGCAUGCACACAUCCACACAAGCAUGCAAACACCCAAACAGACACAUAUAGAUGAAAUAUACAUGCAAGCACACAUAAAUGCAUAAAAGCACACGUAUGCACAUUUGCAAGCAUGUUAUUACAACACCCAAGUAUACAGAUGCAAAUAUACAUAUACAUGUAAGCAUACUGUACAGACACACUGAGGCAUGCAAAACAACAAUACAAGCAAUCAAAUGAAUACACCUACACACACACACACACACACAAUCAUCAUAUCUGAAAUGAAAAAAAAAACAACAAAAAAAAACAACAACUUACCUUUACUUGUGUUUAAAUUCAAACAACACAGACUAAACCUGAUUGGUUCCAGAGCCAUUGAACGGCUCUGAUUGGUUCGUAUGAUAAUGAGCUCACACCAGAGAGCUUCGUAAAUCAAAUAUGAUGUGCGUGCAAAUGUCCCUUGAAUGUGAAUAUAAGUCUAAAUUUAAACAGUAUUAUAUAGAGCGAUCGUGUCUCUUUAGGGCGCUUGGAGGAAACCACGCAAUUCAUAUGGAUUACUUUGGCGAUGUUUUUUUGCGAUUCACUUUUUGAAACGUGAACAUCUUUGAUGAAUCUUUUCAUCGGCGGGACAUAAAUCUCUCAGAAUUCAUUAAAAUAUCUCAGCUUUUCUUUCGAAGAUGAACGAAAGUCUUAGAUGGUUUGGAGCAUCUUAAGGGUGAGUGAUGGCAGAAUUCAUAUUGUUUUGGGGGAACUAUGAAAUUAAUUAGACAAUAUAGCGGUAUGUUCUUAUUUUUACCAGCUUCUGCAAGCGUUUAUGGCAUCUGGCUUUUGGAACCUCACUGUGACUUCAGAUAAGAACAAAGAUUAAAUUGCAAGAAGGGUUGCUCAUAAGAGAGCAUACAGUACAUCUGAAACUGCUGAGGCUGGGAAGGUUUUUGACUAUAUUUCCGACCAGAUCAGCUGCUAUAGAAGACAAACUGAAAUCUGAGUGCAGAGACAAGCAAAGGAAUACUGCAAGGCACUUGUGCAAAAUAUUGUAUGACAGGACGACUAGGCUGUGCCCAUGUUUCCGGAACCUGCGGUGACGCUCAGCUCCAUCGGCCCUCCGUCUGAGCAUUCGGGUCCACCAGCUCCGUCUCCAUCGGUUGGCCCCCAGAUGUCGGCAGCCACACCAUCUACAUCUUGGCUCCUCCCUCACUCGACUCUGCCGUGUUGUCAGCACUGGGAUGCCAUGUGCCAAACACCAUCUAAGCUGCCAGGGCAUCAUCGUCAUCCUCCCAUCACCAUCCCUUCACCACAUCCUGCCAUCAUCCCUCACCUUUGCCUCUCACCAUCCCUACGCCAUCUCCUCGUCCACCUCCAAACCCCCUCCGUCCCUCCCUAAUUCUGUCGCUUGAACUUUAUCAUCUUCAUCUUUUUUGUGUCUUUUUUUUCUUCAGAAAAUUGCAUUGUAAUUUUUAUUUAUUCAUUGAUGUAAAAUUCUUUACUUUUCAGUAAUAGAGGUAUAACUGAAAUGUUCUACAAAUGGAUAAGAUAGCUCUGCCACAGCAUUUCAGUCUUUUUUCAUUUAUUAUAAUGUUUUUUGUAUAAUGUUUUAAAAUGUACUUGAGUAUGUUUGUAGUAAUACAAAUAUACUAUCAACAUACUUGUAUUUCAAGUGCAUUCUUAAUACAUGUAAUAGUAUGUUUUUUGUUUUUCACCAAAGUAUAUA
This is a long non-coding RNA of Onychostoma macrolepis, 2896 nucleotides long. RefSeq lists it as uncharacterized. The transcript is spliced from 4 exons. Lineage: Eukaryota; Metazoa; Chordata; Actinopteri; Cypriniformes; Cyprinidae. The record is from RefSeq and is a predicted model, not a curated record.